UCCUGGUGGAACCAAGAUGUAUAAAGAUUUAAAGACACAUUUCUGGUGGAAUAGGAUGACGAGAGACGUUAGAAGAUGUGUGGUUCAGUGUUUGACUUGUUAGCAGGUGUCACGCCCCGAGACCCGUCUCUUUGGUGGAGAGAUCACAAGAAAGAGAGUAUUUGGAAGCUGAUGAGAAUGUAAAUAUGAUGUAAAUGAGCUGAAUGCUUGUAAUAUUUAGUACUUUAUAUUUUUGGUAU
RNAcentral lists this long non-coding RNA (239 nucleotides) under Ananas comosus (pineapple). RNAcentral describes it as "long non-coding RNA (ACOM_LNC003065)". The record is from RNAcentral. Lineage: Eukaryota; Viridiplantae; Streptophyta; Magnoliopsida; Poales; Bromeliaceae.